This 424-nucleotide ribosomal RNA is filed under the name Chaetocnema costulata. RNAcentral's name for it is "partial 28S ribosomal RNA". The record is from RNAcentral. Lineage: Eukaryota; Metazoa; Arthropoda; Insecta; Coleoptera; Chrysomelidae.
CCCGAAAGGUCGAAAGGGGAAAUUCAUUCGCGUUUCGACCGUCGGAGUUGGACGUUCGAGUGACGGACGACGUUCGCGCGUCGUCUGCGCCGUUCGUUCAUCGAACUGACGUCGAACGCGUGCACUUUUCCCCUAGUAGGACGUCGCGAUCCGUUGGGUGUUUGUCUAAGACUUGAGGUGGAGCCCGCGAGACUUAGGUCGCGCGGACCCUUGAUGUUCCGACCAACCCGCUCGACGGUAUACGAAUGGCGCCGGGCCGCUACACUUAGUUAGCGUUCGGGCCGUAGCAAGCACGUUCCGCGUUUGACGGCGAUCGGACCUGGUGCCGAUUCUGUCCCGGAACGACUGUUGGUUACGGUGUUCUCGAACAGACCCGUUGAAACGCCGAUCAGCGACGCAAUAGCUUUGGGUACUUUCAGGACCC